This 371-nucleotide ribosomal RNA is filed under the name uncultured bacterium. RNAcentral describes it as "partial 16S ribosomal RNA". It matches the Rfam family "Bacterial small subunit ribosomal RNA", at positions 355 to 719 of the family's 1533-position model. The record is from RNAcentral.
UGGGGAAUCUUCCGCAAUGGACGAAAGUCUGACGGAGCAACGCCGCGUGUAUGACGAAGGCCUUCGGGUGUAAAGUACUGUCUUUGGGGACGAACGGUAUCUAUGUAAAUAAUGCAGAUACAUGACGGUACCCAAGGAGGAAGCCCCGGCUAACUACGUGCCAGCAGCCGCGGUAAUACGUAGGGGGCGAGCGUUGUCCGGAAUCAUUGGGCGUAAAGGGCGCGUAGGCGGGUCAUUAAGUCUGGUGUGAAAGGCAGGGGCUCAACCCCUGGAAGGCACCGGAACUGGUUAUCUUGAGGACAGGAGAGGAAAGCGGAAUUCCACGUGUAGCGGUGAAAUGCGUAGAUAUGUGGAGGAACACCAGUGGCGAA